AUAUAUCAACCUCCUCAGGUUUUUACUUGUCGAGUGUUUGGAUGUGGGGGUUUCUUUUGCUGGUCUCUUUCGAGAUCGGCUCCCCUGAAAUGCAUUAGCGGAACAAUUUGUUGACCCGUUCAUUGGUGUGAUAACUAUCUACGCUAUUGACGUGAAGCAGGUUCAGCUUCUAACAGUCCAUUAACUUGGACAAAUUUUCAUUA
This 203-nucleotide unclassified non-coding RNA is filed under the name uncultured Cortinarius. RNAcentral describes it as "sequence contains ITS2". The record is from RNAcentral. Lineage: Eukaryota; Fungi; Basidiomycota; Agaricomycetes; Agaricales; Cortinariaceae.